RNAcentral lists this ribosomal RNA (254 nucleotides) under uncultured bacterium. RNAcentral's name for it is "partial 16S ribosomal RNA". It matches the Rfam family "Bacterial small subunit ribosomal RNA", at positions 524 to 776 of the family's 1533-position model. The record is from RNAcentral.
UACGUAGGAGGCGAGCGUUGUCCGGAUUCACUGGGCGUAAAGGGCGCGUAGGCGGCGGCUUGAGUCCCUGCGUGAAAUCUCCCGGCUCAACCGGGAGGGUGCGCGGGAUACUGGGCGGCUUGAGGACAUCAGAGGAGAGCGGAAUCCCCGGUGUAGUGGUGAAAUGCGUAGAUAUCGGGGGGAACACCAGUGGCGAAGGCGGCUCUCUGGGGUGCACCUGACGCUGAUGCGCGAAAGCGUGGGGAGCGAACCGG